CCUACGGGGAGCUGCAGUGGGGAAUAUUGGACAAUGGGCGAAAGCCUGAUCCAGCCAUGCCGCGUGUGUGAAGAAGGCCUUCGGGUUGUAAAGCACUUUCAGUGGGGAAGAAAGCCUUGGGGCUAAUACCCUCGAGGAAGGACAUCACCCACAGAAGAAGCACCGGCUAACUCCGUGCCAGCAGCCGCGGUAAUACGGAGGGUGCGAGCGUUAAUCGGAAUUACUGGGCGUAAAGCGCGCGUAGGCGGUCUGAUAAGCCGGGUGUGAAAGCCCCGGGCUCAACCUGGGAACGGCAUCCGGAACUGUCAGGCUAGAGUGCAGUAGAGGAAGGUAGAAUUCCCGGUGUAGCGGUGAAAUGCGUAGAUAUCGGGAGGAAUACCAGUGGCGAAGGCGGCCUUCUGGACUGACACUGACGCUGAGGUGCGAAAGCGUGGGUAGCAAACAGGAUUAGAUACCCUUGUAGUC
RNAcentral lists this ribosomal RNA (465 nucleotides) under Vreelandella stevensii. Its description in RNAcentral is "partial 16S ribosomal RNA". It matches the Rfam family "Bacterial small subunit ribosomal RNA", at positions 338 to 795 of the family's 1533-position model. Lineage: Bacteria; Pseudomonadati; Pseudomonadota; Gammaproteobacteria; Oceanospirillales; Halomonadaceae. The record is from RNAcentral.